RNAcentral lists this ribosomal RNA (196 nucleotides) under Klebsiella pneumoniae. RNAcentral describes it as "partial 23S ribosomal RNA". It matches the Rfam family "Bacterial large subunit ribosomal RNA", at positions 2735 to 2925 of the family's 2925-position model. Lineage: Bacteria; Pseudomonadati; Pseudomonadota; Gammaproteobacteria; Enterobacterales; Enterobacteriaceae. The record is from RNAcentral.
GCACUGCCCGGUAGCUAAAUGCGGAAGAGAUAAGUGCUGAAAGCAUCUAAGCACGAAACUUGCCCCGAGAUGAGUUCUCCCUGAGACUUUAAGUCUCCUGAAGGAACGUUGAAGACGACGACGUUGAUAGGCCGGGUGUGUAAGCGCAGCGAUGCGUUGAGCUAACCGGUACUAAUGAACCGUGAGGCUUAACCUU